UUCAGUGAUGAUAAUCCGCAUAGGAAGUGCCGUCUGAUGCGAUAACUGACGAUCGAGCUGUUCUGAGA
Eleginops maclovinus (Patagonian blennie) is the source of this 68-nucleotide small nucleolar RNA. RefSeq annotates it as small nucleolar RNA SNORD49. The record is from RefSeq and is a predicted model, not a curated record. Lineage: Eukaryota; Metazoa; Chordata; Actinopteri; Perciformes; Eleginopidae. The transcript has a single exon.